RNAcentral lists this ribosomal RNA (514 nucleotides) under Uroplatus fiera. Its description in RNAcentral is "partial 16S ribosomal RNA". It matches the Rfam family "Bacterial large subunit ribosomal RNA", at positions 1856 to 2597 of the family's 2925-position model. Lineage: Eukaryota; Metazoa; Chordata; Lepidosauria; Squamata; Gekkonidae. The record is from RNAcentral.
UGCCUGCCCAGUGAACCUGUUUUAACGGCCGCGGUAUCCUAACCGUGCAAAGGUAGCGUAGUCAUUUGUUCUUUAAUUGAGGACCGGUAUGAACGGCUACAUGAGGGCCUAACUGUCUCCUAUGGUUAACCAAUGAACCUGAUCUUCCAGUACAAAAGCUGGAAUAAACACAUAAGACGAGAAGACCCUGCGGAGCUUCAAACAACCCCUAAGCCCCCUUUAAGCCCCCCACUGGCACACUAUACAAGCGUAAUUAGGCAAGUUUUAAGUUGGGGCGACUAUGGGGUAAAACAAAACCCCCCUGACACAAACAUUUGUACAAGGUAGGCACACCAACAACAAAAAUAAUGACCCAGUCACACUGAGUAACGAACCAAGUUACCCCAGGGAUAACAGCGCUAUCCCCUUUAAGAGUCCUUAUCACCAAGGGGGUUUACGACCUCGAUGUUGGAUCAGGACACCCAGGUGGUGCAGCCGCUACCAAGGGUUCGUUUGUUCAACGAUUAACAGUCCU